RNAcentral lists this ribosomal RNA (245 nucleotides) under uncultured bacterium. RNAcentral describes it as "partial 16S ribosomal RNA". It matches the Rfam family "Bacterial small subunit ribosomal RNA", at positions 524 to 768 of the family's 1533-position model. The record is from RNAcentral.
UACAGAGGUGGCUAGCGUUGUUCGGAUUUACUGGGCGUAAAGCGUGCGUAGGUGGUUUCGUGUGUCGAACGUGAAAUCCCACUGCUCAACGGUGGAACUGCGUUUGAAACUGCGAAGCUAGAGUGCAGGAGGGGAGAGCGGAAUUCUUGGUGUAGCGGUGAAAUGCGUUGAUAUCAAGAGGAACACCGGCGGCGAAGGCGGCUCUCUGGAAUGCUACUGACACUGAGGCACGAAAGCUGGGGGAG